GACGAACGCUGGCGGCGUGCUUAACACAUGCAAGUCGAACGGAAAGGCCCUGCUUUUGUGGGGUGCUCGAGUGGCGAACGGGUGAGUAACACGUGAGUAACCUGCCCUUGACUUUGGGAUAACUUCAGGAAACUGGUGCUAAUACCGGAUAGGAGCUCCUGCCGCAUGGUGGGGGUUGGAAAGUUUCGGCGGUUGGGGAUGGACUCGCGGCUUAUCAGCUUGUUGGUGGGGUAGUGGCUUACCAAGGCUUUGACGGGUAGCCGGCCUGAGAGGGUGACCGGCCACAUUGGGACUGAGAUACGGCCCAGACUCCUACGGGAGGCAGCAGUGGGGAAUAUUGCACAAUGGGCGGAAGCCUGAUGCAGCAACGCCGCGUGCGGGAUGACGGCCUUCGGGUUGUAAACCGCUUUCGCCUGUGACGAAGCGUGAGUGACGGUAAUGGGUAAAGAAGCACCGGCUAACUACGUG
RNAcentral lists this ribosomal RNA (468 nucleotides) under uncultured bacterium. Its description in RNAcentral is "partial 16S ribosomal RNA". It matches the Rfam family "Bacterial small subunit ribosomal RNA", at positions 28 to 507 of the family's 1533-position model. The record is from RNAcentral.